RNAcentral lists this ribosomal RNA (462 nucleotides) under uncultured bacterium. RNAcentral describes it as "partial 16S ribosomal RNA". It matches the Rfam family "Bacterial small subunit ribosomal RNA", at positions 28 to 507 of the family's 1533-position model. The record is from RNAcentral.
GACGAACGCUGGCGGCGUGCUUAACACAUGCAAGUCGAGCGGAAAGGCCCUUCGGGGUACUCGAGCGGCGAACGGGUGAGUAACACGUGAGUAACCUGCCCCAGACUUUGGGAUAACCCUCGGAAACGGGGGCUAAUACCGGAUACGACACAGCUUCGCAUGGGGUCUGUGUGGAAAGUUUUUCGGUUUGGGAUGGGCUCGCGGCCUAUCAGCUUGUUGGUGGGGUGAUGGCCUACCAAGGCGACGACGGGUAGCCGGCCUGAGAGGGCGACCGGCCACACUGGGACUGAGACACGGCCCAGGCUCCUACGGGAGGCAGCAGUGGGGAAUAUUGCACAAUGGGCGGAAGCCUGAUGCAGCGACGCCGCGUGAGGGAUGACGGCCUUCGGGUUGUAAACCUCUUUCAGCAGGGACGAAGCGUAAGUGACGGUACCUGCAGAAGAAGCGCCGGCCAACUACGUG